UCAAAGAUUAAGCCAUGCAUGUCUCAGUACGAGCCAAAUUAAGGUGAAACCGCGAAAGGCUCAUUAAAUCAGUUAUGGUUCCUUAGAUCGUACCAAAGUUACUUGGAUAACUGUGGUAAUUCUAGAGCUAAUACAUGCAAACAGAGCUCCGACCGGAGACGGAAGGAGUGCUUUUAUUAGAUCAAAACCGAUCGGCGGCGGGUUGGUGACUCUGAAUAACUUUACGCCGAUCGCACGGUCAUCGCACCG
RNAcentral lists this ribosomal RNA (249 nucleotides) under Pseuderodiscus sp. ARC3519. Its description in RNAcentral is "partial 18S ribosomal RNA". It matches the Rfam family "Eukaryotic small subunit ribosomal RNA", at positions 37 to 286 of the family's 1831-position model. Lineage: Eukaryota; Metazoa; Arthropoda; Insecta; Coleoptera; Curculionidae. The record is from RNAcentral.